UGGGGAAUAUUGGACAAUGGGGGCAACCCUGAUCCAGCAAUGCCGCGUGUGUGAAGAAGGCCUGAGGGUUGUAAAGCACUUUCAGUGGGGAGGAGGUCUUUUUGGUUAAGAGCUGGAAAGAUGGACGUUACCCACAGAAGAAGCACCGGCUAACUCCGUGCCAGCAGCCGCGGUAAUACGGAGGGUGCAAGCGUUAAUCGGAAUUACUGGGCGUAAAGGGUGCGCAGGUGGUUUGAUAAGAUAUCUGUGAAAUCCCCGGGCUCAACCUGGGAAGGUCAGAUAAGACUGUCAGACUCGAGUAUGGGAGAGGGUAGUGGAAUUUCCGGUGUAGCGGUGAAAUGCGUAGAGAUCGGAAGGAACACCAGUGGCGAAGGCGGCUACCUGGCCUGAUACUGACACUGAGGCACGAAAGCGUGGGGAGCAAACAG
RNAcentral lists this ribosomal RNA (428 nucleotides) under uncultured bacterium. RNAcentral describes it as "bacterial SSU rRNA". It matches the Rfam family "Bacterial small subunit ribosomal RNA", at positions 355 to 775 of the family's 1533-position model. The record is from RNAcentral.